GGAGUUGGCCAGACAGUCGCUGCCCACGUCGUCGACGCGGGGAGAGGAAAGUCCGGGCUCCACAGGGCAAGGCGCCAGGUAAUGCCUGGGAGGCGCAAGCCUACGGAAAGUGCCACAGAAAAUAUACCGCCACGGUCCUCCGGGACCGCGGUAAGGGUGAAAUGGUGCGGUAAGAGCGCACCGCGCUUCCGGUAACGGAAGUGGCAGGGCAAACCCCGCCCGGAGCAAGACCAAAUAGGGGGGCAUUGGAGGCAACUCCUGACGUGCGGCCCGCACGGCUCCCGGGUAGGUCGCUCGAGGCGCACGGUGACGCGCGCCCUAGAUGAAUGACUGUCCACGACUGAACCCGGCUUAUCGGCCGACUCCCCAU
This 370-nucleotide RNase P RNA is filed under the name Methylocaldum sp. RMAD-M. RNAcentral describes it as "RNase P class A". It matches the Rfam family "Bacterial RNase P class A". Rfam says of the family: Ribonuclease P (RNase P) is a ubiquitous endoribonuclease, found in archaea, bacteria and eukarya as well as chloroplasts and mitochondria. Its best characterised activity is the generation of mature 5'-ends of tRNAs by cleaving the 5'-leader elements of precursor-tRNAs. Lineage: Bacteria; Pseudomonadati; Pseudomonadota; Gammaproteobacteria; Methylococcales; Methylococcaceae. The record is from RNAcentral.